AGUCCCUUAGCUCAGUUGGUUAGAGCGUGGUGCUAAUAACGCCAAGGUCGCGAGUUCGACCCUCGUAGUGACCA
Transfer RNA from Pseudogymnoascus pannorum, 74 nucleotides. It matches the Rfam family "tRNA". Rfam says of the family: Transfer RNA (tRNA) molecules are approximately 80 nucleotides in length. Their secondary structure includes four short double-helical elements and three loops (D, anti-codon, and T loops). The record is from Rfam. Lineage: Eukaryota; Fungi; Ascomycota; Leotiomycetes; Thelebolales; Thelebolaceae.